RNAcentral lists this long non-coding RNA (466 nucleotides) under Salvia miltiorrhiza (redroot sage). Its description in RNAcentral is "long non-coding RNA (SMIL_LNC008173)". The record is from RNAcentral. Lineage: Eukaryota; Viridiplantae; Streptophyta; Magnoliopsida; Lamiales; Lamiaceae.
CCUGGCCUCCCUCUGCUCUCUCAACCUCCAGCACCAACAACGGCUCUAGAUCCUCUCCACUCGAUCCAGAGGUAAGUUUAAUGAAAUCCAGUUAGAUUCGUCCAAGUUCGUGUUUAGCCUUGAUUUAAAUUGGAUAUGAAUUCACUUGCUUCGGUUUUGUUGUCUUUCUUUCAAGGUUAUCUGGUCUCGACUUGAUGUGUUGGGAUGAUUGGAUCUGUUCUUGAGAUGUUGUGCUUGGGUUGCCGUCCACCAUUUUCAUCCAGGAUAUUAAUUUUUAUUUCUAUUUUAAUUGGACAAUUGAACUAAUUGAGUGUAAUGUAAUUCAUAAAGAAAUCGGUAGACGGACGUUGUAAUUAUAAUCCGUGGUGGAAUUGUAUUUUGUUGGUAGAUUGAAUUAUUGUAUUUUGGUGUUGUACAUCAAUUUGAUCGAGCUGUACAACUAUUUUUUUAAUAUUCUUAAGUUCAC